This 774-nucleotide long non-coding RNA is filed under the name Volvox carteri. RNAcentral describes it as "long non-coding RNA (VCAR_LNC000077)". The record is from RNAcentral. Lineage: Eukaryota; Viridiplantae; Chlorophyta; Chlorophyceae; Chlamydomonadales; Volvocaceae.
UUAAUGACAAGGAUUGGGCUAGAAUAGCCCAAUCCUUGUGGCUAGAAUACAACACAACAUCAUUCUGCUCUGCCUGCAUCUAUCGCUUUCGCGGCGUUGUUGCCGGAUCGUAAGGAAAAGCUCGAUCUUGCAUCAAAACGGAGCCUUCGGCUACGUGCUAAAAUGGAAACUUUUUCAUUCCGGCUUUUUGAUUCAUGGUAAACGCAAAUCUUGUGCGCUGAGAACCUGAGAAAAGGAUCUGGCGGCGGUUGACAGCAUCACAAGAUUUCAAGAAGCGCGCGACUGACUCCCAAAGACGACCCACAUAUCCUUUCCGUCUGCAGUACCACUGCUGCGGCUGCCGCCGCAGCAGCCCUAUACCACACUUACCGUGAACGGAUGCGACUGCGCGUCGUCGCCGGUGAAGCCCAGCGCAUCCAUCAGGUGGAAAUCGUGAUCCGCCAGUGUAUCCAGAAUGUCCGGAUCGGGAGGGCCCGCAAUAGACGCCAUGUUCCACGUCUGGCAAAUAAAGGAUUAAAUCUUAAACCUGUUUUCCAUCACAGGAUAAAAGAGCUCUCAAACCGCAAUUGACCACAUCCCACCCAUGCGAACGAGCGGCGUUACCUCAAAAACUUUUCAUUUUUGUCAAAUGCAAACCUUCCCCCAACAAAAGCAACCCCCGUACACCCGCCCCCCUACCUCUGCCCAUAUCUGCGCCACCCUCAGCAGCUGGUCCGGGGCAGUGAGGCCCCCAUGACCGCCCUCGGGCGGUGAAACGGCCGCCAGCAGCGCCGG